This is a long non-coding RNA of Aethalodelphis obliquidens (Pacific white-sided dolphin), 861 nucleotides long. RefSeq lists it as uncharacterized. The record is from RefSeq and is a predicted model, not a curated record. Lineage: Eukaryota; Metazoa; Chordata; Mammalia; Artiodactyla; Delphinidae. The transcript is spliced from 3 exons.
CUCCAGUAACAAGGCCAGUUUCCCCUUUGAAUCCUCGAGCUCAAGCACUGCAGGGCAGUACCAGUGUGUCUAUCACUGCAGGAAAGACAGGUCAGAGUGGAGUGACCCCCUGCCCCUGGUGGGGACAGGUAGGAGGGAGGACCCGGGUCCCCUCCCACUGCGGCAGCGUCCUUACAGGCAGAGGGAGCAGAGUGUGGGCUCAGGGGGACGGACGUCUCCCCUCACAGCCCACACCUGCGGUGAGCGGGGUGAAGGCCCCCCUUUAACCCAGCCCCUUCCCCUCCCUCUCAGCAGCCGCGCCCUGUGGCGGCCUCAGGAGGGGGCGUGUCCCUGGCAGCUCACAGUUUGCAGCGGGCACUCUGCACCUGCUGAAGGAGGGAGGCGCCGACCCGCCCGACGCCGGACAUCGAGGACCCAUGGGAGGGGACAGGCCGUGGGCCCUGUGGGCCCCCUAAACUCCUCCCGUGGGGGAACCCACGGAUGCUAUGAUUCUCCCAGCUCCCUGCACAUGUGUGGUCACACCCCAGUCACCCUCUGCAUCGCCAGGUCACAGGGGUGUACAAGGAGCCCUCGCUCUCAGCCUAGCCGGGCUCUCUCGUGCUCCGUGGAGACAGCCUGAUCGCCGGAAUGUACAGGAAACCCUCCCUCUCAGCCCAGCUGGGGGCCUCAGAACCCUGCAGAGAGAACGGGACCCUGCAGUGUGGCUCUGAGGUCUGGUCCGAUCCCCUCCAUCUGUCCAAGGAGGGGUCACUCACUCCUCCCCAGUACCUUCGUCUGUAGGACACGGCUCCACCCUUUCAGAACAACUUCACCUUGAGUCCUGUGACCUCAGCCCACAGUGGGACCUACACGUGCUACAGC